This 56-nucleotide transfer RNA is filed under the name Cylicocyclus auriculatus. RNAcentral's name for it is "tRNA-Ser". The record is from RNAcentral. Lineage: Eukaryota; Metazoa; Nematoda; Chromadorea; Rhabditida; Strongylidae.
AACUAUUGUUGUUUUGUUUUGAAAACAAAACUUAAAACUUUAUGUUUUGUAGUUUU